UGCCUAAUCUUGGACCAGUUUAUGGCCGCA
This 30-nucleotide non-coding RNA is filed under the name Rattus norvegicus (Norway rat). The record is from RNAcentral. Lineage: Eukaryota; Metazoa; Chordata; Mammalia; Rodentia; Muridae.